UCGGCCGGAUCUUGUGCCCAAGGAUUUGGCGUUUGUUGCGUUUUUAGUUUGGCUUGCGGUGGGACCACUUUCUGAAAACUGCACUUACCUCGUUCAAGCGAGUACAUCCACGCCCACGGCAGAUCCGUGCACGUUCACGAUUUGCAAAUGCUCAUCAAAUAUUUGCCGAAUCAGGCUGGAUUUCACGACGUUUUCCAUCGCUGGACCAACGGUAGAAAC
Tigriopus californicus is the source of this 219-nucleotide long non-coding RNA. RefSeq lists it as uncharacterized. Lineage: Eukaryota; Metazoa; Arthropoda; Copepoda; Harpacticoida; Harpacticidae. The record is from RefSeq and is a predicted model, not a curated record. The transcript has 3 exons.